UAUAGGUUUGGUCCCAGCCUUCCUAUUAACUCUUAAUAGACUUACACAUGCAAGCAUCCGCACCCCGGUGAAAAUGCCCUCCAAGUUAAUAAGACUAAGAGGAGCUGGUAUCAAGCACACAUCCGUAGCUCACGACACCUUGCACAGCCACACCCCCACGGGAGACAGCAGUGAUAAAAAUUAAGCCAUAAACGAAAGUUUGACUAAGCCAUAUUAAUUAGGGUUGGUAAAUUUCGUGCCAGCCACCGCGGUCAUACGAUUAACCCAAGUUAAUAGGCAUACGGCGUAAAGUGUGUUAAAGCACUAUACUAAANAAAGUUAAAUUCCAAUUAAGCUGUAAAAAGCCAUAAUUGUAACAAAAAUAUAUAACGAAAGUAACUUUACAACCGCUGAAACACGAUAGCUAGGACCCAAACUGGGAUUAGAUACCCCACUAUGCCUAGCCUUAAACACAAAUAGUUAUGCAAACAAAACUAUUCGCCAGAGUACUACCGGCAAUAGCUUAAAACUCAAAGGACUUGGCGGUGCUUUAUACCCUUCUAGAGGAGCCUGUUCUAUAAUCGAUAAACCCCGAUAAACCUCACCAUUCCUUGCUAAUACAGUCUAUAUACCGCCAUCUUCAGCGAACCCUAAAAAGGUACAAAAGUAAGCACAAUCAUAAUACAUAAAGACGUUAGGUCAAGGUGUAACCUAUGGAACGGAAAGAAAUGGGCUACAUUUUCUAAUCUAAGAAAAUCCAACACGAAAGUUAUUAUGAAAUUAAUAACCAAAGGAGGAUUUAGCAGUAAACUAAGAAUAGAGUGCUUAGUUGAACUAGGCCAUGAAGCACGCACACACCGCCCGUCACCCUCCUCAAGUAGGCACAGUACACUCAAAUUUAUUUGCACGUAUUAAUCAUAUGAGAGGAGACAAGUCGUAACAAGGUAAGCAUACUGGAAAGURUGCUUGGAUAAANNN
Molecule: non-coding RNA, 957 nt
Filed under: Cervus elaphus (red deer)
Lineage: Eukaryota; Metazoa; Chordata; Mammalia; Artiodactyla; Cervidae
Description: 12S ribosomal RNA
Rfam family: Bacterial small subunit ribosomal RNA
Source: RNAcentral